AUCGCUUCUUGGCCUUUUGGCUAAGAUCAAGUGUAGUAUUUGUUCUUACCAGUUUAAUAUCUGAUAUGUUCUCUAUCUGAGGAUAUUAUAUUAAAUGGAUUUUUGGAGCUGGCAGAUGGAAUAGGAGCUUGCUUCAUCCACUCUGCACAUUGACCCGGAAUUGCAGUACUUCCGGGAACAGUGCACCAAAC
Molecule: small nuclear RNA, 191 nt
Organism: Phyllostomus discolor (pale spear-nosed bat)
Lineage: Eukaryota; Metazoa; Chordata; Mammalia; Chiroptera; Phyllostomidae
Product: U2 spliceosomal RNA
Exons: 1
Source: RefSeq, a predicted model, not a curated record